GUGCGCUGGCCGCAGCAGCCCAGGUGGCCCCUUGCCUGCCUGGCCAAUCAAGGGUGGCAUGUGAAUGCCACCAGCCAACAAGCACAGGGACCACACAGCGACCUGCUCACUAGCUGUAAAUGCCACCAUUAUGAUUGGAAUUGUAUGUGCCCCAACUCACAUGUUGAAGCCCUAGCCUCAGUACCUCAGAAUGGGGCUGUGUUUGGAGGUAGGGCCUUUAGAGAGGUGACUCAGUUACAUCGAGGCCUUCAGGGUGAGCCCUCCAUUCAGUGUGACUGGGGUCCUGAAAAGAAGACAAUGUUUGGGCAUUCAGAAAGACACAGGACCACAGGCUGUGUGUGCACAGAAGAAAGGCCACGAGAAGGUGACCAUCUGCAAGCCACAGAGGGAGACCUCAGGAGAACCGACUCUGCCGGCACCUUCAUUGUGAACCUGCAGCCUCCAGAGCUGUGAGAAAUACAUUUCUGUUGUUUAAGCCUCCCAGUCUGUAGUAUGUUGUUAUGGCAGCUGGAGUGAACUAGCACAGCCCCUGGAGUUUGGCCAACAAGCACACUGAAGCCAUGAGAAGUGAACCAUUUGUUUCAGAGAAGUGUAAUCAAGCCAAAAAGAAAACAAUCUCCCUUAGCACUCAGGGGGAACGCCAACCUUGAGCUGACUGUCAUUGUGGAAAACUGGGGCCUUCUUGACUGACCUAACUGGACAGAUGGCGAUGGAGGAGGAGGCUGUGCUGACACGUUCGGCUGAGCUCCUGCCUGUGCUUCCCAGCAGCUGCCCACACCAGCCACAGGGAUCACGCCCAACCUGCCUGGAGCACCGGUGAGACGUACGGAGCCAUAAGGAGAGACUUCUGCAUUCUGGUGACCAACUGACUCCACCUGGACCUGUGAUUCCUGACUCAACAGGUCCUGUGGCCCCACCCAGAAGUUGACUUAGCACAUGAGGACCAUUUUCCACAUCCCUACGACUUCAUCCCCAGUCAGCAUCACCCAUUCCCUAGCCCCCGCCUGCCAAUUUACCCAUAACAACUCUAGCCUCUGAAUUCUCAGGGAGGUUGAUUUGAGUAAUAAACUCCAUCUUCCAA
Pan troglodytes (chimpanzee) is the source of this 1081-nucleotide long non-coding RNA. RefSeq lists it as uncharacterized. The transcript is spliced from 2 exons. Lineage: Eukaryota; Metazoa; Chordata; Mammalia; Primates; Hominidae. The record is from RefSeq and is a predicted model, not a curated record.